UGGGGAAUAUUGCACAAUGGGCGCAAGCCUGAUGCAGCCAUGCCGCGUGUAUGAAGAAGGCCUUCGGGUUGUAAAGUACUUUCAGCGGGGAGGAAGGGAGUAAAGUUAAUACCUUUGCUCAUUGACGUUACCCGCAGAAGAAGCACCGGCUAACUCCGUGCCAGCAGCCGCGGUAAUACGGAGGGUGCAAGCGUUAAUCGGAAUUACUGGGCGUAAAGCGCACGCAGGCGGUUUGUUAAGUCAGAUGUGAAAUCCCCGGGCUCAACCUAGGAACUGCAUCUGAUACUGGCAAGCUUGAGUCUCGUAGAGGGGGGUAGAAUUCCAGGUGGAGCGGUGAAAUGCGUAGAGAUCUGGAGGAAUACCGGUGGCGAAGGCGGCCCCCUGGACGAAGACUGACGCUCAGGUGCGAAAGCGUGGGGAGCAAACAGG
Molecule: ribosomal RNA, 429 nt
Filed under: Chloroflexota bacterium
Lineage: Bacteria; Bacillati; Chloroflexota
Description: Chloroflexi bacterium partial 16S ribosomal RNA
Rfam family: Bacterial small subunit ribosomal RNA
Source: RNAcentral